Long non-coding RNA from Homo sapiens (human), 1385 nucleotides. RefSeq lists it as uncharacterized. The transcript has 7 exons. Lineage: Eukaryota; Metazoa; Chordata; Mammalia; Primates; Hominidae. The record is from RefSeq and is a predicted model, not a curated record.
AGGUAUAGAAGACUCUCUAUGCUGCCCUCUUGAAUAAUGCCCCAAGAAUGCAUGCCUUUCCUGAUCAUUCUGUGAAAUAUUGCUGAGUAAAGGAACGAGUGAAUUGUAGAUGGAUAAAUAUCUAAACAAACUUUGGUCAUGCUGCAAGCCUAGUGGAAAGCCUGAUUCUUCUGGGUAUUGGUCAAGGAACACCCACCCCAGAAUGGAAGUCAUUUAGCAGGAAAGCAGUGGUCUGCUAUUCUCUGAGCACCAUUGACCACUUAUUGGAUUGUGGAAGAGACCUAACUCAAAUUUGGACCAAGAAGUGACUUGAAAUCAAGAUCUCUCCCCAGAAGAGACAACAAUGAAUAGUGCUGUUCACGAGGAGUUGCUGGCUCAGCAGGCCUCUUUGUCUCUGUGCUCAUGACAAGGACAUAUCACCUAACUCUGGGCUCUGGCUCACUUAGUAGCUUCUUUGCCGUUGGACUCUCACACCGAGAUGUCACCGAGCAGCAGCCUUUCCCAGGAAGUUGUUAAGGAGAUGGGAAUCCUCAUGCCUGCUGCUUUUUCCCAAAUCAGAGGAAGCCCGGGAGCCAGUUGCAGUAAAGUCUUGCCAGUAACGUUUCUCUUAAGAACGAGAAAGCUACUCAAAGAAAUGAUCUCUUCCUGGAUGUUGUGGUCCACGAAUAUUAUGUCUGGAACAUCAGAGCCAUCUUGUCUCCAUGAUGGGAGUUCCAUCUAAAGACAAAGUCAAAACCCAGCAGAGGACACAGCUGAAGGAACACGAGAAAGUGGCAUGGAAACGCUGAAGCCCCAGCACCGGCAGACCUCAGUUAUUGGGGCCAAUCAACCUCUUGUUACUGUUCAAGCGAGUUUGGAAACGUUGUCAGAGACCCACAACAGAAAACAACUCAAACAGCUCAUACCUAAAGACUCCUACAUGGCUUUGAUGACAUAAAGAGUUUGUAGAGUGAAGACAGAAAUGGUGAAUGAAUAAACAAUUUGGGCUUGAAUGUAAUGACCAAAAGAAGUCCAGGAGAGUUUCAGGGAACCAACUUGCAGCUACAUCCACAAUUCCUCAACACUGGAACAACAUGCUUAUGACCUUUCCUUUUCACAGCAACAGUGACGUGUUUGGUUUGUAACAGUUUCUGAACCACUGAAGUACUUUUCAACUUUCUCCCUUGGAAAAGCUGGCAUCUUGCCUGAAAUCCUUGGUGUGGUCUAGCAUUGCUUUUGUUUUAAUCACAUUCCAGUGAGAAACAGCCACUUAGCCAAAUUUACAUCAGCACUUCCUAUGGUAGCUAUUGGAAACAGCACGGGCAAAAAUGUUGCUAUCUACUGCAUUCAUUGGACUCUGGUAGCUUGUAACAAAUAAAUAGAUGUAUUUUGGCUCCUCUUCUCCA